UACGGAGGAUCCAAGCGUUAUCCGGAUUUAUUGGGUUUAAAGGGUGCGUAGGCGGGUUUUUAAGUCAGUGGUGAAAGUUUGCGGCUCAACCGUAAAAUUGCCAUUGAAACUGAAGACCUUGAGUGUAAAUGAGGUAGGCGGAAUGUGUUGUGUAGCGGUGAAAUGCUUAGAUAUAACACAGAACACCAAUUGCGAAGGCAGCUUACUGGGAUACAACUGACGCUGAGGCACGAAAGCGUGGGGAUCAAACAGG
Molecule: ribosomal RNA, 253 nt
Filed under: uncultured bacterium
Lineage: Bacteria
Description: partial 16S ribosomal RNA
Rfam family: Bacterial small subunit ribosomal RNA
Source: RNAcentral